CCUACGGGAGGCUGCAGUGAGGAAUAUUGGUCAAUGGACGAGAGUCUGAACCAGCCAAGUAGCGUGAAGGAUGACUGCCCUAUGGGUUGUAAACUUCUUUUAUAUGGGAAUAAAAUGUUCCACGUGUGGGAUUUUGUAUGUACCAUAUGAAUAAGGAUCGGCUAACUCCGUGCCAGCAGCUGCGGUAAUACGGAGGAUCCGAGCGUUAUCCGGAUUUAUUGGGUUUAAAGGGAGCGUAGGUGGAUUGUUAAGUCAGUUGUGAAAGUUUGCGGCUCAACCGUAAAAUUGCAGUUGAAACUGGCAGUCUUGAGUACAGUAGAGGUGGGCGGAAUUCGUGGUGUAGCGGUGAAAUGCUUAGAUAUCACGAAGAACUCCGAUUGCGAAGGCAGUUCACUGGACUGCAACUGACACUGAGGCUCGAAAGUGUGGGUAUCAAACAGGAUUAGAUACCCGUGUAGUC
Molecule: ribosomal RNA, 460 nt
Filed under: uncultured bacterium
Lineage: Bacteria
Description: partial 16S ribosomal RNA
Rfam family: Bacterial small subunit ribosomal RNA
Source: RNAcentral